CCUACGGGAGACUGCAGUGAGGAAUAUUGGUCAAUGGGCGGGAGCCUGAACCAGCCAAGCCGCGUGAGGGAAGAAGGUACAGCGUAUCGUAAACCUCUUUUGUCAGGGAACAAAGGCGGGGACGAGUCCCCGGAUGAGGGUACCUGAAGAAAAAGCAUCGGCUAACUCCGUGCCAGCAGCCGCGGUAAGACGGGGGAUGCGAGCGUUAUCCGGAUUUAGUGGGGGUCAAGGGUGCGCAGGCGGCCUGUUAAGUCAGCGGUAAAAGCCCGGGGCUCAACCCCGGCUCGCCGUUGAAACUGGCGGGCUGGAGUUGGACAGAGGUACGCGGAAUGCGCGGUGUAGCGGUGAAAUGCUUAGCUAUCGCGCAGAACCCCGAUUGCGAAGGCAGCGUACCGGCUCCACACUGACGCUGAGGCACGAAAGCGUGGGUAUCGAACAGGAUUAGAUACCCCAGUAGUC
RNAcentral lists this ribosomal RNA (459 nucleotides) under uncultured bacterium. Its description in RNAcentral is "partial 16S ribosomal RNA". It matches the Rfam family "Bacterial small subunit ribosomal RNA", at positions 338 to 795 of the family's 1533-position model. The record is from RNAcentral.